Molecule: ribosomal RNA, 254 nt
Filed under: uncultured bacterium
Lineage: Bacteria
Description: partial 16S ribosomal RNA
Rfam family: Bacterial small subunit ribosomal RNA
Source: RNAcentral
GACGAGGGAUCCUAGCGUUGUUCGGAAUUAUUGGGCGUAAAGCGGGUGUAGGUGGGCUUAUAAGUCAGGUGUGAAAUCCCAGGGCUCAACCCUGGAAGUGCAUUUGAUACUGUAAGCCUUGAAUGUGGUAGAGGUUACUAGAAUUCCUGGUGUAGUGGUGAAAUACGUAGAUAUCAGGAGGAAUACCAGAGGCGAAGGCGGGUAACUGGACCAAACAUUGACACUGAGACCCGAAAGCGUGGGGAUCAAACAGG